Molecule: ribosomal RNA, 94 nt
Filed under: Slackia equolifaciens
Lineage: Bacteria; Bacillati; Actinomycetota; Coriobacteriia; Eggerthellales; Eggerthellaceae
Source: RNAcentral
GCGGGGAUCACCCGAACCCAUUCCGAACUCGGCAGUUAAGCCCGCCAUCGCCGGAUGUACUGGGGGGGAAGCCCCCGGGAGAUAAGGGCGCCGC